UGUAUAUGAGUGUGUAUCUAUGUUUGUGUGUCUGUGCGUAUGUAUGUCUUUCUGUGUGUAAGUGUGGGGGCAUGCUUAUUCUCCUGUCUGGAUGGUGGUCUUUAUGAACAAAAGACAUGUGAAAGAUGCCUGCCCUUCCACGUGAUAAUCCAAGCUGAUCCCACUUUUGUUUUACUUGUUAAAAACGAGGAUAGGAAGAUACAAAUAUGGUCAAUGGCCUUGUCCUGGCUGUUCAUAGCUGACCGCCUGCCAGCUGUAUCCACCUCUGGCCUGUGACCUGGAGCCACAGCUGCUCAGAGAUGAGUAAGGAAGGCGCUCUUGGCUGGAAGCUUGUGGUUGGAAACCUUUCCUGCUAUUUCCUCCUCAAUGACCGAAAGACAUGCACUGGUCUCUCCUGUCCUGCCGGAGGACCCCUCUCCUUUCCACCUUCUUCCACAUGGCUUUCCCUCCUGGACUCUCCUUUUUAUAUGCUUUUGAAUAACAUGGAAGAGAUAAUGAAGAGACAAAAGUGACUGACAGGAACUUCACCGGGCAUGAGGGUUGGACUGUGUGAGCUCAUGAAAGGUGAGGGAAAGGCCCUCUGUGACCUUAAGCAGCUCUGCUGGACAUGGCCACCCCAGAAGGUAGGUCCUGGAGACAGCCUGUGUGUGUGUGUGUGUGUGUGUGUGUCUGUGUCUGACUGCAGGGGGAGGGGUUGUCCUUUGUAGGAUCUCAGGUGGGACCCAUCACAGCACUAGUAAAUUGUCACACCUGUGGGACAGGGAGGUCCACCAUCUUCCUCUUAAUCCAAGAGGCCAUUUGGACCAUGCACUCCUUGGUCACAUUGGCAAGUGGUCAUCCCAUUAGUGAGUGCUCACAGAGUACUCGCUUCAUGGCAGGGUUGGUGCUGAGGGCUUUGCCUACAUUAUUAUUAUUAUCAUUAUCGUUCCAGAAAACUUGUGAUAUGGCUUCUAUUACCAUUCCUAUUAAACAAGUGAGAAACGGUUACAUAAUGUUUCCAAAUCAUUGACCUGGAUUUAGGCUCUGACAACCUGGCUCCAAAGACCACCCUGUAAACCAUGGUGCUACACAUGUGUGUCUCUUCCUGGUAAAUGCCACCUCAGUCUUGCCAAAACAUAGGGAAACAGGAUUUCAGGUAAAAAGAUGGGAUAAAAAUAAAAGCACCCUUUUUAAAAAUAAUAUAUUUUUAGUUGUAGAUGGACACAAUACCUUUAUUUUAUUUAUUUUUAUGUGGUGCUGAGGAUCAAACCCAGUGCCUCUCACUUGCCAGGCAAGUGCUCUACCCCUGAGCCACAACCCCAGCCUGAAAGCAUGCUCCUUGAACUACAACUUCUUGACCAGGACCCAGGACCCAUCAGCCUGGGUAGUAUAGGAAUAAAGUCCAACCCAGUGCAAGGACAAGGUGCUGCGUUUUGUCCAUGUUCCACCCUGUUUGAAAAGUUUGGUGUGUCAGGGUCAAAGAGGUGGAGUAGGGCUCGGGACCUCUGCAUAAUCUGCUAGCCCUACUGGGAGAUUUUAGAAGCUUUACUGUGAAUUUUCACUAAUACCACUGGAACCCCCUAUGGGAUAAUAGGAACUUUGGGUUGGAUUGGUGCUGUGAAGAUUCGCACUGUGCUGGGCGUGGUGGUGCACAUGCCUGUAGUCCUAGAGACUCGCGAGGCUGAGACGGGAGGAUUGCUGAGUUCAAAGCCAGCCUCAGCAAAAAGGGAGAUGCUUUAUUUAGAGACUGUCUCUAAAUAAAAUACAAAAUAGGGCUGGGGAUAUGGCUCAGUAGUGGAAUGCCCCUGAGUUCAAUCCCUGGUACCAAAAAAAAAAAAAAAGAAGAUUCCCACCAUGCUUGGCUUCAUUCUCUGAAGAUUCACAAGUAGGGGAAACCGGAGCCCUUGCUUGGAGUGGCAAUAGCUCUGUUACUGAGCACAUUGCAUUGCAUUCGUACUUCAUUCCUAUGUGGACUGGAGGUAGGAAACGGCAGGAAGGCCUGAGCACCAGUGAACUGGAGGGUCUUGCAAGGGGGCUGCCAAAAGGACCCAUAUGCCAGUUUUAUCUUUCUGUGGCUGAGAUGUUCUUUUGCAGAUAGCAUUAGAGAAAGCAGUGAGCCGAGCAGGUGCUACUAGUGACUAGUGCUGUGGGGCAG
RNAcentral lists this long non-coding RNA (2134 nucleotides) under Marmota monax (woodchuck). The record is from RNAcentral. Lineage: Eukaryota; Metazoa; Chordata; Mammalia; Rodentia; Sciuridae.